Long non-coding RNA from Ailuropoda melanoleuca (giant panda), 1292 nucleotides. NCBI's taxonomy places the organism in Eukaryota, Metazoa, Chordata, Mammalia, Carnivora, Ursidae. The record is from Ensembl.
UGGUGGGUGGAAAAGCAGAGGAUCUGAGAAAAUAGGGAGGAGAAAACCAUUGAAGGAGUGGUAGAGGGGAUGGAAAAUUUCACCAGAACAAGUGGACAAAGAAUUUCAAGAAAUUAAACGAGCCCUUUAGAGAAACCCAGUAAAGAAGGGAAGCUAACGCCCAGCGGAAACGUACCAGUCCAGCUCCCCUGUGAUCCUGGCGAUCAGCCUGGCUUGGAGCCAUUCUCCUAGGCGACCUGCCCCGCUUGGGUGGAGUUUGGCGGUGAGGAGGCUUGAUGGUGGUAGAAGAAAAUUCCGCAAGGUGCCUGAAGAAAAAAGCCUUCACCUGGGAUGGCGUUGGGGCUAGCCUAUUACUAAACGCCCUGCAGACUCAGUAACUUCCAGAGAAGUCUCCGCUGUGGCCCAGACCAAAGAAAAACAAGGGAGAAGAAACGCAAAAGAGCCAACAAAAGGAAGAGAGACAACAAAUCGAGGCCGACCUGAUGGAGUGGAAGAGUGAACCGGCCCUUGAGGUCGGAGGCCUAGGAUGCCCAGCGAGGGGGGCGUGGGGGGCGGGGGACUCGUCCUGAAGGGAGUUACCUUCAGCACAGCCCAGCUCCACCUGUGCCUGGACUUGAUUCCCCACCCCACCCCACUCCCCCCGCAGCACUUCCCCUAAGUGGCUCUAUCCCUUCUGCACAUGCUCUGUCUGCUCAUAGCUAGCAAUCUGGGAAAUGUUGCCUAGCCUUCAGAGGACAAAACCAGAAAGCGGGUUUGGUCUUUCGUGGCUGAGUCCUUGGCCCUUGCUGCUCCCAGGCAGCCCUCUCCCGAGCGCCCGAAUGACAGCCCCUGCACCCUCCACCCCACUUCGCACUCCUUGGCCUCCCAUUCGCAGGGCUGGGAUUUUCUGGCACAGCGGGACAAAGUCCGGGGGGCAGCCUGCGCUGCCGGAGACCAGCGGCAGGUGCGACCAGGUACUGAUAUGGAAUCCUGAACGUAAGAAAACUUGUUCUCGAAGGCUUGCUGGGUUAGCCAGAAGUGGACCAAGCCCUGAGAGUUUUGGAGACUGAGCAAUUUUUGGACAAUGAGACCAAGAUCAAAUGUUAAAGGUGUGCAAAGGAAAUGCUGAACUGAGAAGUGGAAAAGAGAAUCAGAUCCAUCCCCCAACUCCAGACAGGAGAUGUGCCAUUGCCAUUUCACAAUUAAAGCAGAAAGGCUUCGUUAAAUGCCCAAGGUCAAAUGUCCAAUAAAUGAGACAAGAACCCUGAUUGGGUGGAGUGUCCUUUUUCUUUUGCUGUGCUGCUUCAAAGUAC